GUUGAGAUUGGUUACAGUUUUAUGUGUGCUAACACAAUUUAUUAUAAUGCCAACAAAAGGGAAGCCACAAAGUGAUUUAGAUAUUCAAAUUCCAAUGAAAGCAAUACAUUAUGACGUACUAAAAGAAAUUCAAGGCACAACGGAACUACCAGACCUAGCCAAAGAUGACAGUGGAAAAAAAGUGCCUGAUUCUGACAGAAAAGUAUUAUUACCCCUCUAGAUACAGAUAUUAACCGAUGUUACAGCAUUUUUAAACAUAUGAUUUUACUCAAUAAUAAUAAUAAUAAAAGUAGUAAUGUAACUAUUAAAGUUGUACACUUAA
This is a long non-coding RNA of Aethina tumida (small hive beetle), 322 nucleotides long. RefSeq lists it as uncharacterized. NCBI's taxonomy places the organism in Eukaryota, Metazoa, Arthropoda, Insecta, Coleoptera, Nitidulidae. The transcript has 5 exons. The record is from RefSeq and is a predicted model, not a curated record.